This 1254-nucleotide ribosomal RNA is filed under the name uncultured bacterium. RNAcentral describes it as "bacterial SSU rRNA". It matches the Rfam family "Bacterial small subunit ribosomal RNA", at positions 221 to 1504 of the family's 1533-position model. The record is from RNAcentral.
UUAGAGGAUCCCGCGUUCGAUUAGCUAGUUGGUGAGGUAAUGGCUCACCAAGGCGACGAUCGAUAGCUGGUCUGAGAGGAUGAUCAGCCACACUGGAACUGAGACACGGCCCAAACUCCUACGGGAGGCAGCAGUGGGGAAUCUUGCACAAUGGAGGAAACUCUGAUGCAGCGAUGCCGCGUGAGUGAAGAAGGCCUUUGGGUUGUAAAGCUCUUUCGUCGGGGAAGAAAAUGACUGUACCCGAAUAAGAAGGUCCGGCUAACUUCGUGCCAGCAGCCGCGGUAAUACGAAGGGACCUAGCGUAGUUCGGAAUUACUGGGCUUAAAGAGUUCGUAGGUGGUUGAAAAAGUUGGUGGUGAAAUCCCAGAGCUUAACUCUGGAACUGCCAUCAAAACUUUUCAGCUAGAGUAUGAUAGAGGAAAGCAGAAUUUCUAGUGUAGAGGUGAAAUUCGUAGAUAUUAGAAAGAAUACCAAUUGCGAAGGCAGCUUUCUGGAUCAUUACUGACACUGAGGAACGAAAGCAUGGGUAGCGAAGAGGAUUAGAUACCCUCGUAGUCCAUGCCGUAAACGAUGUGUGUUAGACGUUGGAAAUUUAUUUUCAGUGUCGCAGGGAAACCGAUAAACACACCGCCUGGGGAGUACGACCGCAAGGUUAAAACUCAAAUGAAUUGACGGGGACCCGCACAAGUAGUGGAGCAUGUGGUUUAAUUCGAAGAUACGCGCAGAACCUUACCAACACUUGACAUGUUCGUCGCGACUCUAAGAGAUUAGAGUUUUCGGUUCGGCCGGACGAAACACAGGUGCUGCAUGGCUGUCGUCAGCUCGUGUCGUGAGAUGUUGGGUUAAGUCCCGCAACGAGCGCAACCCUCACUUUUAGUUGCCAUCAUUAAGUUGGGCACUCUGAAAGAACUGCCAGUGAUAAGCUGGAGGAAGGUGGGGAUGACGUCAAGUCCUCAUGGCCCUUACGUGUUGGGCUACACACGUGCUACAAUGGCAUCUACAACAGGAAGCAAAACGGCAACGUUAAGCAAAUCCCGAAAAGAUGCCUCAGUUCGGAUUGCACUCUGCAACUCGAGUGCAUGAAGCUGGAAUUACUAGUAAUCGUGGAUCAGCGUGCCACGGUGAAUGCGUUCCCGGGUCUUGUACACACCGCCCGUCACACCAUGGGAGUUGGUUCUACCUUAAGGCAAGGUUUUAAACCCUUGACCACGGUAUAGUCAGCGACUGGGGUGAAGUCGUAACAAGGUAGCCGUA